GGGGAUGACAGGCCUAGACAAUGACUGAUCGCGCACUAAGCGCGAAGCAGAAGUUCCGGACCUUCUUAAACAAUCCGGAAAACAAUAACUGCUAAAUCAGUUCUUUCGCCCUUUGCGGCGAAUGACUUCUCUUUCGCCUACGCUAAGGCCUAAGUGAACACUCUUCUACCAGUUUGGCGGGUAGAGCACGGGUGUUAUACAGCCAAACUCGACAGUAGGCGCUCGCUUAGCGUCUACAUCUAAAACUAAAAGCUUUAGCACGCUGCGCUUUUGUUUACUUUUUAUGCAGCGUGCCGAGACAGUAAAGUAGACUACGCUUCGUAGAAGCCACUGCCUCAGUCAUUGCACGGCGGUUCAACUCCGCCCAUCUCCACAA
RNAcentral lists this transfer-messenger RNA (376 nucleotides) under Candidatus Adlerbacteria bacterium RIFCSPLOWO2_01_FULL_51_16. It matches the Rfam family "transfer-messenger RNA". Rfam says of the family: Bacterial tmRNA, also known as 10Sa RNA or SsrA, is named for its dual tRNA and mRNA-like properties. Its role is to liberate the mRNA from a stalled ribosome. Lineage: Bacteria; Candidatus Adleribacteriota. The record is from RNAcentral. RNAcentral also lists the same sequence under 1 other name.